UUCCCCAAAAGGAACAAAGUCAAUCAGUGACCAGGGCUGAGACAAUUGUGCUGUAGAUUUUAGUUGUCUUGGAACUGUGUGGCUGUCUUGAGUAGCAUAUAGCCCUAGUUAUCCUGAAAGUCCUUUGUUGUUCUUUGAUGAGCAAUACUGAGUUGUGAUGCUGUGAAUUUUUUUUUUUUUAAGACUAAUAUUUUCUCCAAUGAAUGAUGCCUAUCAGUCACACACUGUAGGUAAAGAAGCAUUCCUACGAGAAGCCUAGUGUGAGAGGAACUCUUACAGAAACACAGUCCUGAAUUUUCAGUAACAAAUCCAAAAGUUACCAAGCUUCUGAUCUAGAGGCAAACACUGGAGUAGUCAAGCUGCUACAGCAGAAACAGUGAGAACUGGAAGCAAGAAAAAGAACAAGCUGAGUAUCUUUUCAGCAGUGGACAAUUUCAUUUUUCAGUUUUCCUGGUGUGAUUGAAAAAUACAAAUUUCUGCUGUGGAACUGCUUUCUGCACAGUUGUGUCCUGCUUGCUUGACCUUGCAGCAGCAACUAUGGCUCCUAUUUGGGUCGAGAGCUCCCACACAGGCUGCUCGGAAGAAGGAAAGGAGUGGAGGUUGGUUGAAAAGAAAGUUACUGCUGUCAGGUGAUCAACAAUUUUAAAUACACUCUGUAUUUCAGUGACUUUCAAGUCUGACUCCCAAAAUUUUCCUUUCCUCUCCUCCCUCACCUUCUGGAAAAUAAAUUUCUCAUUCCACUACAGUGGUGAAAAUAUGGCUCACUCUUCCAAGAGCUGAGAGAGUAGUGGUCUUCACCCAGUCAGGUGGAAUAUGUGUCUGUCUGGAUGCUCUGGGCAAUGUGGGGACAGGACAUAAAGUCAGACUACAUGAAACUGAGGCCUGCUACCUUAAGCACAUUUUACUUAAGCAGAGGUUUAUGUGGAAAAGUGGACAGGUCACUGAAGAUUUAGCUGUUCUGCUUUGCUUUUCAGUAAGUGUUCUUCCAAGUUCAUCUGUUUUUCUGCUCUAGAGGUUGUGCUGAAGGCUGAAAAGGUACACUGGAUGUGUGAUGGCCUAUGAGAGGGUUCUUGGGACUUUGGGUUUGCAUUAGUACAGUAACAAUUAGUAACUGCACUGUUGUUUCAGAACUAAAUUUUUUAAGCAUGGGCACACAGAACAGCUGGAGAAACAAAUGGUCUGGCAAUGUUUAGAUGUGCUGUUUAGGCAUGGACCAGUGAAGUCUGCUGCUGUCCAUAGAGCCAAACUGACAAAUGUAUGUGUUAACAGGCCUGAUGCAUAUUUAGAUUGUGUCCAUUAGAAUGAUCUAUUCUGGAAUAAGCAUGCAAAUGAAUAAUCAAGUUGUUAUGCCCUCUGUGUCGUAGACUUGACUGCUAGUAUGCUGCAUAGCUUUGAUAAAAGGAACUGCAGAAUAAAUAAGGCCCAAGGAAAGUCAA
This is a long non-coding RNA of Pogoniulus pusillus (Red-fronted tinkerbird), 1436 nucleotides long. RefSeq lists it as uncharacterized. The record is from RefSeq and is a predicted model, not a curated record. NCBI's taxonomy places the organism in Eukaryota, Metazoa, Chordata, Aves, Piciformes, Lybiidae. The transcript has 3 exons.